AGAAAGGGCAUGAAAAAAUAGGGGACCACCCCUUUUUUCUUCAUUUCUCCAAUCAUUGGCCAAUAAUCGAUGGCCAUAAUCUCGAGAAAGAGUGGCAGGGAGGUCAAGGAUCAUGAUGCAUGGAUGCGGCACCAUGGGUGGCAGCACUGAUGAUUGAAAAAAGGAUGGAGAAACCUCGUUCAAAAUAGAAAAAUAUAGGGUUCUUCUUUUCUUGAAUUUUUCGACAAAGUUGAUGGCCGGUGGCAAGGCUCAGGGCCAAAAGAAAAUAGGGUAGAGAGAGGAGAAAAGAUCGAGCCCUUACUUUGUCUCCGACAGUGUUUUGGCUCCAAUUCUCAAUGAGCACAAUAACGGAAGGCCGUAUCUUCAACUAAAGAAGAGAGAGAGAGAAAGAGCACUGAUAG
RNAcentral lists this long non-coding RNA (401 nucleotides) under Elaeis guineensis (African oil palm). RNAcentral's name for it is "long non-coding RNA (EGUI_LNC019882)". Lineage: Eukaryota; Viridiplantae; Streptophyta; Magnoliopsida; Arecales; Arecaceae. The record is from RNAcentral.